RNAcentral lists this ribosomal RNA (578 nucleotides) under uncultured eukaryote. RNAcentral's name for it is "eukaryotic LSU rRNA". The stretch from base 184 to 337 matches the Rfam family "5.8S ribosomal RNA". The record is from RNAcentral.
GUAACAAGGUCUCCGUUGGUGAACCAGCGGAGGGAUCAUUAUCGAGUUAUUCAACUCCCAAACCCUAUGUGAACUUACCACUUGUUGCUUCGGCGCGCGCUUCGGCGCCGCCGAGGACACUUAAACUCUUUGUUUUUAUAAGCAUUUCUGAGUGGCCGAAAGGCAAAAAUACAAAUGAAUCAAAACUUUCAGCAACGGAUCUCUUGGUUCUGGCAUCGAUGAAGAACGCAGCGAAAUGCGAUAAGUAAUGUGAAUUGCAGAAUUCAGUGAAUCAUCGAAUCUUUGAACGCACAUUGCGCCCGCCAGCAUUCUGGCGGGCAUGCCUGUUCGAGCGUCAUUUCAACCCUCGAGCCCGACUCUUUUGAGGACGGCUCGGCGUUGGGGGACGGCAGACUCCCCCCGGCAUCUCGCCGGGGACGCCGCCCCCGAAAUCUAGUGGCGGCCCUCCGAGGCGACCUCUGCGUAGUAACUUGUUCUCGCACCGGAAAGCUCAGAGCGGCCACGCCGUAAAACCCCAACUUUUUUCAGGUUGACCUCGAAUCAGGUAGGACUACCCGCUGAACUUAAGCAUAUCAAUA